Molecule: ribosomal RNA, 775 nt
Filed under: uncultured Neocallimastigales
Lineage: Eukaryota; Fungi; Neocallimastigomycota; Neocallimastigomycetes; Neocallimastigales
Description: partial large subunit ribosomal RNA
Rfam family: Eukaryotic large subunit ribosomal RNA
Source: RNAcentral
AGAGAGAGACAUGCGCGCAUAUCAAUAAGCGGAGGAAAAGAAACUAACAAGGAUUCCCUUAGUAACGGCGAGUGAAGCGGGAAGAGCUCAAAUUUGAAAUCUUCAAGGUUUUACCUUGACGAAUUGUAGUUUAAAGAAGUGUUUUCUGCUGAAGUUUUGGUAAAAGUUCUUUGGAAUAGGACAUCAUAGAGGGUGAGAAUCCCGUAUUUGACCAUUAUUUUCAGCUUUGUGAUACACUUUCAAAGAGUCGGAUUGUUUGGGAAUGCAGUCCAAAAUGGGUGGUAAAUUUCAUCUAAAGCUAAAUAUUGGCGAGAGACCGAUAGCGAACAAGUACCGUGAGGGAAAGAUGAAAAGAACUUUGAAAAGAGAGUUAAACAGUACGUGAAAUUGUCAAAAGGGAAGCGCUUUGACACCAGUGUUGUUUUCUCGAAAAUCAAUUAAAAAUGGCUCGAUUUUGUAUUGUUGAGACCUUAAAAGCUCACUGUACAUUUUUCGUGUCUUUUUUAAUGCACUUUUCGUUUAACAAGUCAACAUCAGUUUCUUUUGUUGUAAAAGGGUCAUUGGAAGGUGGCUUUCUUUUCGGAGAAAGUGUUUAUAGCCUUUGGCCUCUGCAAUCGGAGAGACUGAGGUCUGCAGCGUAGACUCUUCGGGGUUAGAUACAUUUGUGCUAAGUUAUAGCUUUUUAUAGACAACUUGUUGACUAUAAUUAGUCUUGUAGCUUACUCGCUUAUGCUAUUUUACCUACGCUUAGGAUGUUGAAGAUGUAGCACAUCAU